GACAGUAGGGAGAAAAAUAGAGGAGAAAAGAGACUCGUAGUGGUGCACAGCGGUGAUCACGACGGUAAUGGAAAGAGAAAAAGAGGAGAAGAGGAUGUACGGUGGGUGUAAGGUGCGGUGGUUAAUGGUGAAGGGUUCGGUCAUGGUGGAGGAAGGAAGUAAAAGUAAAAAGAGGAAAGGGUGGUGGCAUUGCAAAAAGAGAGAAAAAUAAGUGAGAAUGGAGAGAAAAAAUAAUAAUAUAGAGAAGAGGGAGGAGGGGAUGAUAAUGAUAAGUGGGUGUGUGGGAGGAAAGGUUGGUCAACUAGGUAUAGGUUCAAUGAAUCUCUACUAUGGCGAGGGUGAGAUAAAAUGGUAAGAGAGGGAAACAUGGAGUGAAAAGGGGAUCAUGCUCCUUCAACUUAUUAUAACUUUGACCCAUAAGGUAGGAAAGGG
RNAcentral lists this long non-coding RNA (432 nucleotides) under Gossypium raimondii (Peruvian cotton). Its description in RNAcentral is "long non-coding RNA (GRAI_LNC004627)". Lineage: Eukaryota; Viridiplantae; Streptophyta; Magnoliopsida; Malvales; Malvaceae. The record is from RNAcentral.